RNAcentral lists this ribosomal RNA (452 nucleotides) under uncultured bacterium. Its description in RNAcentral is "bacterial SSU rRNA". It matches the Rfam family "Bacterial small subunit ribosomal RNA", at positions 29 to 524 of the family's 1533-position model. The record is from RNAcentral.
AGCGAACGCUGGCGGCAGGCUUAACACAUGCAAGUCGAGCGGGCGUAGCAAUACGUCAGCGGCAGACGGGUGAGUAACGCGUGGGAACGUACCUUUUGGUUCGGAACAACUGAGGGAAACUUCAGCUAAUACCGGAUAAGCCCUUACGGGGAAAGAUUUAUCGCCGAAAGAUCGGCCCGCGUCUGAUUAGCUAGUUGGUGAGGUAACGGCUCACCAAGGCGACGAUCAGUAGCUGGUCUGAGAGGAUGAUCAGCCACAUUGGGACUGAGACACGGCCCAAACUCCUACGGGAGGCAGCAGUGGGGAAUAUUGGACAAUGGGCGAAAGCCUGAUCCAGCCAUGCCGCGUGAGUGAUGAAGGCCCUAGGGUUGUAAAGCUCUUUUGUGCGGGAAGAUAAUGACGGUACCGCAAGAAUAAGCCCCGGCUAACUUCGUGCCAGCAGCCGCGGUAAU